AACUGAUACUACCUGCGGGAACCUGCGGAGGGAUCAUUACUGAGUAACGUGGUCUUUUAGACCCGCUACCCGCCCUAUGUCAUAUGUUGGACGAGGUCGUCUCUAAGGGCGGCCUCCGACCCCACUUCCCGGGAAGCGUUGCGCCCCAUCAGGUCUAGGCCUUGAUGGGGAUGGGACCGCCCGGGGUCUUUUUCAAACCCUUUGUAAGAAAUCUGAAGUCUGAAGCGAAAGCUUAAAAUA
This 240-nucleotide unclassified non-coding RNA is filed under the name soil metagenome. Its description in RNAcentral is "partial contains 5.8S ribosomal RNA, internal transcribed spacer 2, and large subunit ribosomal RNA". The record is from RNAcentral.